GAUGAACGCUGGCGGCGUGCCUAAUACAUGCAAGUCGAGCGAACAGACGAGGAGCUUGCUCCUCUGACGUUAGCGGCGGACGGGUGAGUAACACGUGGAUAACCUACCUAUAAGACUGGGAUAACUUCGGGAAACCGGAGCUAAUACCGGAUAAUAUAUUGAACCGCAUGGUUCAAUAGUGAAAGACGGUUUUGCUGUCACUUAUAGAUGGAUCCGCGCCGCAUUAGCUAGUUGGUAAGGUAACGGCUUACCAAGGCAACGAUGCGUAGCCGACCUGAGAGGGUGAUCGGCCACACUGGAACUGAGACACGGUCCAGACGCCUACGGGAGGCAGCAGUAGGGAAUCUUCCGCAAUGGGCGAAAGCCUGACGGAGCAACGCCGCGUGAGUGAUGAAGGUCUUCGGAUCGUAAAACUCUGUUAUUAGGGAAGAACAAAUGUGUAAGUAACUAUGCACGUCUUGACGGUACCUAAGCAGAAAGCCACGGCUAACUACGU
This 496-nucleotide ribosomal RNA is filed under the name uncultured bacterium. RNAcentral describes it as "partial 16S ribosomal RNA". It matches the Rfam family "Bacterial small subunit ribosomal RNA", at positions 28 to 506 of the family's 1533-position model. The record is from RNAcentral.